Molecule: ribosomal RNA, 626 nt
Filed under: uncultured Rheinheimera sp.
Lineage: Bacteria; Pseudomonadati; Pseudomonadota; Gammaproteobacteria; Chromatiales; Chromatiaceae
Description: bacterial SSU rRNA
Rfam family: Bacterial small subunit ribosomal RNA
Source: RNAcentral
GGCACAAUACUGACGCUCAGGUGCGAAAGCGUGGGGAGCAAACAGGUUUAGAUACCCUGGUAGUCCACGCCGUAAACGAUGUCUACUAGCUGUUCGUGGUCUUGUACUGUGAGUAGCGCAGCUAACGCACUAAGUAGACCGCCUGGGGAGUACGGUCGCAAGAUUAAAACUCAAAUGAAUUGACGGGGGCCCGCACAAGCGGUGGAGCAUGUGGUUUAAUUCGACGCAACGCGAAGAACCUUACCUACUCUUGACAUCUAGCGAAGAUUGCAGAGAUGCAGUUGUGCCUUCGGGAACGCUAAGACAGGUGCUGCAUGGCUGUCGUCAGCUCGUGUUGUGAAAUGUUGGGUUAAGUCCCGCAACGAGCGCAACCCUUAUCCUUAGUUGCCAGCACGUAAUGGUGGGAACUCUAGGGAGACUGCCGGUGAUAAACCGGAGGAAGGUGGGGACGACGUCAAGUCAUCAUGGCCCUUACGAGUAGGGCUACACACGUGCUACAAUGGUACGUACAGAGGGAGGCAAGCUGGCGACAGUGAGCGGGAUCUCUUAAAGCGUAUCGUAGUCCCGGAUCGCAGUCUGCAAACUUCGACUGCGUGAAGUCGGAAUCCGCUAGUUAGUCGCAAAUC